AUCCUUUUGUAGUUCAUAAGCAUAAUGACUGGGUGUUCACACACAUGUGAGAUGUGUCACCCUCAAACCUUGUUACAUUGGCACACUAUCCAUUUGACA
Papio anubis (olive baboon) is the source of this 99-nucleotide small nucleolar RNA. The record is from Ensembl. Lineage: Eukaryota; Metazoa; Chordata; Mammalia; Primates; Cercopithecidae.